GGGCGAUUAGCUCAAGCGGGUAGAGCGCCACGUUUACACCGUGGAUGUCAGAGGUUCGAGUCCUCUAUCGCCCA
This 74-nucleotide transfer RNA is filed under the name Chlamydiota bacterium. Its description in RNAcentral is "Chlamydiae bacterium (groundwater metagenome) tRNA-Val". It matches the Rfam family "tRNA". From Rfam's summary of the family: Transfer RNA (tRNA) molecules are approximately 80 nucleotides in length. Their secondary structure includes four short double-helical elements and three loops (D, anti-codon, and T loops). The record is from RNAcentral. Lineage: Bacteria; Pseudomonadati; Chlamydiota.